GUGCUCACUUUGGUAGCAUAUAUACUAAAAUUGGAAGAAUAUAGAGAAGAUUAGCAUGGCCCCUGCACAAGGAUGACAUGCAAAUUUGUGAAGCAUUCCAUAUUUAA
This is a small nuclear RNA of Pan troglodytes (chimpanzee), 107 nucleotides long. The record is from Ensembl. Lineage: Eukaryota; Metazoa; Chordata; Mammalia; Primates; Hominidae.